Molecule: transfer RNA, 35 nt
Filed under: Carlia triacantha
Lineage: Eukaryota; Metazoa; Chordata; Lepidosauria; Squamata; Scincidae
Description: partial tRNA-His
Source: RNAcentral
AGAAUGUGGACCUAAAGAUAGAAGUUUAACUCUUC